RNAcentral lists this ribosomal RNA (514 nucleotides) under Otiorhynchus teretirostris. Its description in RNAcentral is "partial 16S ribosomal RNA". It matches the Rfam family "Bacterial large subunit ribosomal RNA", at positions 1818 to 2604 of the family's 2925-position model. The record is from RNAcentral. Lineage: Eukaryota; Metazoa; Arthropoda; Insecta; Coleoptera; Curculionidae.
GCCUUUUGAUUAUAAUUUAAGGUCUAACCUGCCCAAUGAGGAUUUGAAUGGCCGCGGUAUUUUGACCGUGCAAAGGUAGCAUAAUCAUUAGUUUUUUAAUUGAAAGCUGGAAUGAAAGGUUGAAUGANAAAAUAAUUGUCUCUAUUUAAAUUAUUUAGAAUUUUAUAUUUAAGUAAAAAAGCUUAAAUUAAAUUAGAAGACGAGAAGACCCUAUAGAGUUUAAUUAAUUUUUAUAAUGAAUUUUUUAGUAUUUAUUUUUUUUAUAUAAAUAUUAAUUUANUUGGGGUGAUUGAAAAAUUUAAUGAACUUUUUUUUAAAUUUAUACAUUGAUUUAUGAGUAUUUGAUCCUUAUUUAAAGAUUAAAAGAAAAAAUUACCUUAGGGAUAACAGCGUAAUUUUUUUAGAGAGUUCAAAUCGAAAAAAAGGAUUGCGACCUCGAUGUUGGAUUAAAAUAAAAUUUUGGUGUAGAAGCUAAAAUAUUUAGGUCUGUUCGACCUUUAAAAUUUUACUUGAU